Molecule: ribosomal RNA, 468 nt
Filed under: uncultured bacterium
Lineage: Bacteria
Description: partial 16S ribosomal RNA
Rfam family: Bacterial small subunit ribosomal RNA
Source: RNAcentral
GACGAACGCUGGCGGCGUGCUUAACACAUGCAAGUCGAACGGAAAGGCCCUGCUUUUGUGGGGUGCUCGAGUGGCGAACGGGUGAGUAACACGUGAGUAACCUGCCCUUGACUUUGGGAUAACUUCAGGAAACUGGGGCUAAUACCGGAUAGGAGCUCCUGCUGCAUGGUGGGGGUUGGAAAGUUUCGGCGGUUGGGGAUGGACUCGCGGCUUAUCAGCUUGUUGGUGGGGUAGUGGCUUACCAAGGCUUUGACGGGUAGCCGGCCUGAGAGGGUUACCGGCCACAUUGGGACUGAGAUACGGACCAGAAGCCUACGGGAGGCAGCAGUGGGGAAUAUUGCACAAUGGGCGGAAGCCUGAUGCAGCAACGCCGCGUGCGGGAUGACGGCCUUCGGGUUGUAAACCGCUUUCGCCUGUGACGAAGCGUGAGUGACGGUAAUGGGUAAAGAAGCACCGGCUAACUACGUG